RNAcentral lists this ribosomal RNA (478 nucleotides) under uncultured bacterium. RNAcentral describes it as "bacterial SSU rRNA". It matches the Rfam family "Bacterial small subunit ribosomal RNA", at positions 30 to 507 of the family's 1533-position model. The record is from RNAcentral.
UGAACGCUGGCGGCGUGCUUAACACAUGCAAGUCGAACGAAGCACUUUAUUAUGAUUUCUUCGGAAUGACGAUUUUGUGACUGAGUGGCGGACGGGUGAGUAACGCGUGGGUAACCUGCCUUGUACAGGGGGAUAACAGUUGGAAACGGCUGCUAAUACCGCAUAAGCGCACGGCAUCGCAUGAUGCAGUGUGAAAAACUCCGGUGGUAUAAGAUGGACCCGCGUUGGAUUAGCUAGUUGGUGAGGUAACGGCCCACCAAGGCGACGAUCCAUAGCCGACCUGAGAGGGUGACCGGCCACAUUGGGACUGAGACACGGCCCAAACUCCUACGGGAGGCAGCAGUGGGGAAUAUUGCACAAUGGGCGAAAGCCUGAUGCAGCGACGCCGCGUGAGCGAAGAAGUAUUUCGGUAUGUAAAGCUCUAUCAGCAGGGAAGAUAAUGACGGUACCUGACUAAGAAGCACCGGCUAAAUACGUG